UGGGGAAUAUUGGACAAUGGGCGAAAGCCUGAUCCAGCCAUGCCGCGUGUGUGAAGAAGGUCUUCGGAUUGUAAAGCACUUUAAGUUGGGAGGAAGGGUUGUAGAUUAAUACUCUGCAAUUUUGACGUUACCGACAGAAUAAGCACCGGCUAACUCUGUGCCAGCAGCCGCGGUAAUACAGAGGGUGCAAGCGUUAAUCGGAAUUACUGGGCGUAAAGCGCGCGUAGGUGGUUUGUUAAGUUGGAUGUGAAAUCCCCGGGCUCAACCUGGGAACUGCAUUCAAAACUGACUGACUAGAGUAUGGUAGAGGGUGGUGGAAUUUCCUGUGUAGCGGUGAAAUGCGUAGAUAUAGGAAGGAACACCAGUGGCGAAGGCGACCACCUGGACUAAUACUGACACUGAGGUGCGAAAGCGUGGGGAGCAAACA
Molecule: ribosomal RNA, 427 nt
Filed under: Pseudomonas sp.
Lineage: Bacteria; Pseudomonadati; Pseudomonadota; Gammaproteobacteria; Pseudomonadales; Pseudomonadaceae
Also listed under: 6 other names
Description: partial 16S ribosomal RNA
Rfam family: Bacterial small subunit ribosomal RNA
Source: RNAcentral